Molecule: ribosomal RNA, 533 nt
Filed under: Microtus thomasi (Thomas's pine vole)
Lineage: Eukaryota; Metazoa; Chordata; Mammalia; Rodentia; Cricetidae
Description: partial 16S ribosomal RNA
Rfam family: Bacterial large subunit ribosomal RNA
Source: RNAcentral
GAGGCCUGCCUGCCCAGUGACAAACGUUCAACGGCCGCGGUAUCCUGACCGUGCAAAGGUAGCAUAAUCACUUGUUCCUUAAUUGGGGACUGGAAUGAAUGGCCUCACGAGGAUUCAACUGUCUCUUACCUCUAAUCAGUGAAAUUGACCUCCCCGUGAAGAGGCGGGGAUACAACAACAAGACGAGAAGACCCUAUGGAGCUUUAAUUUUCUGUCUUAACUACUAAAUAACUAACCCUACUGGGAUAAAAAAAAGAGAAGUAAGUCAGUAAUUUCGGUUGGGGUGACCUCGGAGAAUAAGACAACCUCCGAAUGAUUUUAACCAAGACAAACAAGUCAAAGUAUUAAAAAUCAAAUUGACCCAAUUCAUUUGAUCAACGGACCAAGUUACCCUAGGGAUAACAGCGCAAUCCUAUUCAAGAGUCCAUAUCGACAAUUAGGGUUUACGACCUCGAUGUUGGAUCAGGACAUCCCAAUGGUGCAGCAGCUAUUAACGGUUCGUUUGUUCAACGAUUAAAGUCCUACGUGAUCUG